This 245-nucleotide ribosomal RNA is filed under the name uncultured bacterium. RNAcentral's name for it is "partial 16S ribosomal RNA". It matches the Rfam family "Bacterial small subunit ribosomal RNA", at positions 524 to 768 of the family's 1533-position model. The record is from RNAcentral.
GACGUAGGAUGCAAGCGUUGUCCGGAAUUAUUGGGCGUAAAGCGUUCGUAGGCGGCCUGUCAAGUCUGAUGUUAAAGCCCGGAACUCAACUCCGGUUCAGCAUUGGAUACUGACAAGCUAGAGUGCAGAAGAGGCAAGGGGAAUUCCUAGUGUAGCGGUGAAAUGCGUAGAUAUUAGGAGGAACACCGGUGGCGAAAGCGCCUUGCUGGGCUGUAACUGACGCUUAGGGACGAAAGCCAGGGGAG